CAGGGAUUGCCUCAGUAACGGCGAGUGAAGCGGCAACAGCUCAAAUUUUAAAGCUGGCGUCCUCGACGCCCGCGUUGUAAUUUGGAGAGGCAUCUUCGGUUUGGGCGCCAGCCUAUGUUCCUUGGAACAGGACGUCACAGAGGGUGAGAAUCCCGUGCUUGGCUGGCUGUCCCUCUCCAUGUGAAGUGUCUUCGACGAGUCGAGUUGUUUGGGAAUGCAGCUCAAAAUGGGUGGUAAAUUUCAUCUAAAGCUAAAUAUUGGCGGGAGACCGAUAGCGCACAAGUAGAGUGAUCGAAAGAUGAAAAGCACUUUGAAAAUAGAGUUAAAAAGUACGUGAAAUUGUUGAAAGGGAAGCGCUUGAGACCAGACUCGGCCGGAGACGAUCAGCGGUCCUUUUGGGCCGUGCACUCGUCCUCGGUUGGGCCAGCAUCGGUUGAGACGGUGGGAUAAAGGUCCGGGGAAUGUGGCUCCUUUCGGGGAGUGUUAUAGCCCCGGGCGCAAUGCCGCCAGCCUCGACCGAGGACCGCGCUCUUUUGCUAGGAUGCUGGCGUAAUGGUCUUCAGCGACCCGUCUUGAAACACGGACCAAGGAGUCUAACAUCUAUGCGAGUGUUUGGGUGUCAAACCCUUGCGCGUAAUGAAAGUGAACGUGGGUGGGAACCUCUCGUAAGGGGGGCGCACCAUCGACCGAUCCUGAUGUCUUCGGAUGGAUUUGAGUAGGAGCAUAGCUGUUGGGACCCGAAAGAUGGUGAACUAUGCCUGAAUAGGGUGAAGCCAGAGGAAACUCUGGUGGAGGCUCGCAGCGGUUCUGACGUGCAAAUCGAUCGUCAAAUUUGGGUAUAGGGGCGAAAGACUAAUCGAACC
Molecule: ribosomal RNA, 863 nt
Filed under: Maublancomyces americanigigas
Lineage: Eukaryota; Fungi; Ascomycota; Pezizomycetes; Pezizales; Discinaceae
Description: Gyromitra americanigigas partial large subunit ribosomal RNA
Rfam family: Eukaryotic large subunit ribosomal RNA
Source: RNAcentral